Molecule: ribosomal RNA, 253 nt
Filed under: uncultured bacterium
Lineage: Bacteria
Description: partial 16S ribosomal RNA
Rfam family: Bacterial small subunit ribosomal RNA
Source: RNAcentral
UACAGAGGGUGCAAGCGUUAAUCGGACUUACUGGGCGUAAAGGGUGCGUAGGCGGUUGUAUAAGUUAGUUGUGAAAGCCCAGGGCUUAACCUUGGAACGGCAAUUAAAACUGUAUGACUAGAGUCGAGUAGAGGGGAGUGGAAUUUCCGGUGUAGCGGUGAAAUGCGUAGAUAUCGGAAGGAACACCAGUGGCGAAGGCGACUCUCUGGACUCAGACUGACGCUGAGGCACGAAAGCGUGGGGAGCGAACAGG